CUCCGGCAUCUUUUUGGUCCUGAAGAUCGCAUUGAACAACCUGGAGAGCCACUCCACUCCUAACCUACCCAUGCAUUUCCAGAACUCUACCGGGAUCUCGUCAGGCCCGGUCGCUCGACCUCUACUCAUACUACGCAAAGCCCCCAUGACCUCCUCCGCCCUAAUGCGCCUGCAAUACCCAAGGUCUAUAUGUUGCUCUGAAUGCCCCAACUCCCCUAGCUCUAUGUUACGAUCCCCCNN
Molecule: long non-coding RNA, 240 nt
Filed under: Nicotiana benthamiana
Lineage: Eukaryota; Viridiplantae; Streptophyta; Magnoliopsida; Solanales; Solanaceae
Description: long non-coding RNA (NBEN_LNC039683)
Source: RNAcentral